AGAGUUCGAUCAUGGCUCAGGAUGAACGCUGGCGGCGUGCUUAACACAUGCAAGUCGAACGAAGCAUUUAGAACGGAUUACUUCGGUUUGAAGUUCUUUAUGACUGAGUGGCGGACGGGUGAGUAACGCGUGAGUAACCUGCCUCUAAGAGGGGAAUAACAUUCUGAAAAGAAUGCUAAUACCGCAUAAUAUAUAUUUAUCACAUGGUAGAUAUAUCAAAGAUUUAUCGCUUAGAGAUGGACUCGCGUCCGAUUAGUUAGUUGGUGAGGUAACGGCUCACCAAGACCGCGAUCGGUAGCCGGACUGAGAGGUUGAACGGCCACAUUGGGACUGAGACACGGCCCAG
RNAcentral lists this ribosomal RNA (346 nucleotides) under uncultured bacterium. RNAcentral describes it as "bacterial SSU rRNA". It matches the Rfam family "Bacterial small subunit ribosomal RNA", at positions 8 to 334 of the family's 1533-position model. The record is from RNAcentral.